Molecule: ribosomal RNA, 671 nt
Filed under: Exiguobacterium sp. EECC-422
Lineage: Bacteria; Bacillati; Bacillota; Bacilli; Caryophanales
Description: bacterial SSU rRNA
Rfam family: Bacterial small subunit ribosomal RNA
Source: RNAcentral
UCGAGCGCAGGAAUCGACGGAACCCUUCGGGGGGAAGUCGAUGGAAUGAGCGGCGGACGGGUGAGUAACACGUAAAGAACCUGCCCUCAGGUCUGGGAUAACCACGAGAAAUCGGGGCUAAUACCGGAUGGGUCAUCGGACCGCAUGGUCCGAGGAUGAAAGGCGCUUCGGCGUCGCCUGGGGAUGGCUUUGCGGUGCAUUAGCUAGUUGGUGGGGUAAUGGCCCACCAAGGCGACGAUGCAUAGCCGACCUGAGAGGGUGAUCGGCCACACUGGGACUGAGACACGGCCCAGACUCCUACGGGAGGCAGCAGUAGGGAAUCUUCCACAAUGGACGAAAGUCUGAUGGAGCAACGCCGCGUGAACGAUGAAGGCCUUCGGGUCGUAAAGUUCUGUUGUAAGGGAAGAACAAGUGCCGCAGGCAAUGGCGGCACCUUGACGGUACCUUGCGAGAAAGCCACGGCUAACUACGUGCCAGCAGCCGCGGUAAUACGUAGGUGGCAAGCGUUGUCCGGAAUUAUUGGGCGUAAAGCGCGCGCAGGCGGCCUCUUAAGUCUGAUGUGAAAGCCCCCGGCUCAACCGGGGAGGGCCAUUGGAAACUGGGAGGCUUGAGUAUAGGAGAGAAGAGUGGAAUUCCACGUGUAGCGGUGAAAUGCGUAGAGAUGUGGAGGA